RNAcentral lists this unclassified non-coding RNA (253 nucleotides) under uncultured Rubrobacterales bacterium. Its description in RNAcentral is "contains 16S-23S intergenic spacer region". It matches the Rfam family "Bacterial small subunit ribosomal RNA", at positions 524 to 776 of the family's 1533-position model. The record is from RNAcentral. Lineage: Bacteria; Bacillati; Actinomycetota; Rubrobacteria; Rubrobacterales.
UACGUAGGGGGCGAGCGUUGUCCGGAAUUAUUGGGCGUAAAGAGCGUGUAGGCGGCCUGGUAAGUCUGUCGUGAAAUGCUGGGGCUCAACCCUGGACGUGCGAUGGAUACUGCUAGGCUAGAGGAUGGUAGAGGCGAGUGGAAUUCCCGGUGUAGCGGUGAAAUGCGCAGAUAUCGGGAGGAACACCAGUAGCGAAGGCGGCUCGCUGGGCCAUUCCUGACGCUGAGACGCGAAAGCAUGGGGAGCGAACAGG